Molecule: long non-coding RNA, 2001 nt
Organism: Drosophila nasuta
Lineage: Eukaryota; Metazoa; Arthropoda; Insecta; Diptera; Drosophilidae
Exons: 4
Source: RefSeq, a predicted model, not a curated record
AUGUCAAAGCCAAAACAUAACACAACAACAACAAUUUUCAAUAUGCCCUGCGAAUUGCCAAAUAAGCAGCAUAUAAAAGUUGUGUCUCUUUUCACGGAACUUGUGUAAAUAGAUCUCUUGCGAUGAUCUUGCGAAACAGGCUGUCGCUUGUCUAUGAUGUUAUUAAUAACAUUGUCAUGUGGCUGUUAGCCGAGUUUAACAAAUAUUUUUGGGCUGCUCUUGCUAAUUCCUCAAUACUAUAUUUCGUGGAAUUUAAAGCUAAGUAACUUUAAAGAGCGCCACUGACCUCAGAAGUGACCUUGACUGUGAGCAAUUGCUGUUGUUGCCUUUACAACGAAAGUUGCAUAAAGUCAAGUAAUUUGCUCUAUCAAAAGCACAAAGCGGAAAAAACAAGCCAAAACAAUCAUUGAGGGAUAGGCACGCGGGGAUGAGUUAGAGCGAUGACAAUAUAUUUACAGUUGGCUACAAUGGCGAAUAAUUGCUAUUAUUUUGGCUUAACAACAAUGCCAAACUUUUGCCAAUGGCUCUCAAACUGUUUGCUGGCGUUUUAAAUCGCACCAAAGUCGUUCAUGUGUGCGGCCCGAGUUCAGUUCAGCUGCGGGCGUAAAUUGAGCAUCACAAGUUCAAUUACACACAUAAAUAUACACACGUACGUGUUGAAUAUGUGUGCUGUUGGUUUUUGUUGUUGCCAUUGUUGUUGAUGAACUGCUCUCUAACUACAUAUUUAAUGGCACAAUGUUUGUUUCGCUUCUUUUAUAUUUCUUUUUGGCUUAAUUUUUCGUUUUUUUGCACAAAUUUUUCCCAUUUAAAUUUGAUGUUGGUUUUGGGUUGCUUUUCAAUUUCCGACGCCGACGCAGACUACGAACGAACGAAAAAAACACUUUUUGUCGUUGCUGCUGCCGUUUUGCGGGCAACUAAAAACAACAAUGAAGCAUUUCCGGUUACCAACCAAGCUAAUGUGUAAGAAACGAGUUGCAACAUUUACGCAAAAUACAAGCAAGUACUCUUUUCCGCCCUUUAUUGAUCCGUAGGUAUUUUAAAUUUUUUGCACUUGGGCCCACUCAAAAGCAAAGCAAAGUGCCUGGUUUUAUGACACAUUUCAGAAAUAACGCAUGUCCACUACACAAAUUGUCAAAUGGCGUGGGCCAAGCACUCAUAUAGGGAACAGACCUGACAGACAGACGGUCAGACAGACAUCAGACAGCACAAAGUCCCAUAACUGUUUAUGAGAAAUGCCAUUGACAGAGGGUGGCCACGAAGAAGAAGAAGUCCCCUUCAGUGCCCACGCAAUGUUCCUCAGAGAUUGCAAUUUGUUUGCCCGUUCCUUGCCCUCUUCCUGUUUGUGGCUGCCACUUGAUCUAUUUAAGCGCUGUGUCGAAGCACCAAAUGACACCAAGCAGGUCCCAAAUGCAUUUCUCGAAUCGAGGGCAUAUUGCACUCGGACCCAAACCCAGACCCAGACCAGAACUAAGAACCCGCAUCCCUGGCCGCUUCGCUGUUUCUGUUUGUUACUCGAAACCAUCGUAAAUAUGCUAGCAAUUUUGUGGGCGUGGCCCGUCCCUUGUAGAAAACUUUGACGCCAGCGAAGCCCGCUGGCAAUGGAUGCAGCAGCUGAGAUCGGGAGAGUUGGAUGCGGAGGAUGAAAUAGCAGCGAUAUCUCUCUAGUUCAUUGCUUGUAAAAUUGACUUUAGCACAAGCGCAUCGAGCAACGAGAACAACAACAACAUCAACAACUGCAACAACAACAACAAUAAAAUGCAAUGAGCCACAACAACUUUCUGCCGGCAGCCAAACAAGCCAAAGAUACUUAGCUACAAUUUUCAGAGCUGCCUUUCGUUUUAGCGUCUUUGCAUACCCUAACAGUUGGCAUGCUCAUUUUGUUGCAACAUACGUAUGUAUUUACUAUAUGUGUUGCAUGUACAAAGUACAAUAUAUAGUACAAUAUAUUUGGCUAUUCUGUUAAAAUUUAAAAUUAAAUAGCAAACGUGUCAUAAAACUCAA